RNAcentral lists this transfer RNA (72 nucleotides) under Actinomadura kijaniata. RNAcentral's name for it is "tRNA-Ala". It matches the Rfam family "tRNA". From Rfam's summary of the family: Transfer RNA (tRNA) molecules are approximately 80 nucleotides in length. Lineage: Bacteria; Bacillati; Actinomycetota; Actinomycetes; Streptosporangiales; Thermomonosporaceae. The record is from RNAcentral.
GGGCUUGUGGUGUGAAGGGGAACAUCUCUCCCUUGCAAGGAGAGGAUCAGGGUUCGAGUCCCUGCGGGUCCA